UAUUGAAAAGGGCAAAGCCCGCGAAAGCGGGUGACGCAAAGUCAACGGUCUAACGAGCUCCGGCUCCACGACGGCAGGACUGCCAGA
Non-coding RNA from Massilia sp. JS1662, 87 nucleotides. The record is from Rfam. NCBI's taxonomy places the organism in Bacteria, Pseudomonadati, Pseudomonadota, Betaproteobacteria, Burkholderiales, Oxalobacteraceae.